UACGUAGGGUGCGAGCGUUGUCCGGAAUUACUGGGCGUAAAGAGCUCGUAGGUGGUUUGUCGCGUUGUUCGUGAAAACCUAAGGCUUAACCUUGGGCGUGCGGGCGAUACGGGCAGACUGGAGUACUGCAGGGGAGACUGGAAUUCCUGGUGUAGCGGUGGAAUGCGCAGAUAUCAGGAGGAACACCGGUGGCGAAGGCGGGUCUCUGGGCAGUAACUGACGCUGAGGAGCGAAAGCGUGGGGAGCGAACAGG
RNAcentral lists this unclassified non-coding RNA (253 nucleotides) under uncultured Mycobacteriaceae bacterium. RNAcentral describes it as "contains 16S-23S intergenic spacer region". It matches the Rfam family "Bacterial small subunit ribosomal RNA", at positions 524 to 776 of the family's 1533-position model. Lineage: Bacteria; Bacillati; Actinomycetota; Actinomycetes; Mycobacteriales; Mycobacteriaceae. The record is from RNAcentral.